AUUGAACGCUGGCGGAAUGCUUUACACAUGCAAGUCGAACGGCAGCACGGGGGCAACCCUGGUGGCGAGCGGCGAACGGGUGAGUAAUACAUCGGAACGUGCCCAGUCGUGGGGGAUAACGUAGCGAAAGUUACGCUAAUACCGCAUACGAUCUACGGAUGAAAGCGGGGGACCGUAAGGCCUCGCGCGAUUGGAGCGGCCGAUGUCAGAUUAGGUCGUUGGUGAGGUAAAGGCUCACCAAGCCGACGAUCUGUAGCUGGUCUGGGAGGACGACAAGCCACACUGGGACUGAGACACGGCCCAGACUCCUACGGGAGGCAGCAGUGGGGAAUUUUGGACAAUGGGCGCAAGCCUGAUCCAGCCAUUCCGCGUGCAGGACGAAGGCCUUCGGGUUGUAAACUGCUUUUGUACGGAACGAAAAGGCUCUGGUUAAUACCUGGGGCUCAUGACGGUACCGUAAGAAUAAGCACCGGCUAACUACGUGCCAGCCGCCGCAGUAA
Molecule: ribosomal RNA, 500 nt
Filed under: uncultured bacterium
Lineage: Bacteria
Description: partial 16S ribosomal RNA
Rfam family: Bacterial small subunit ribosomal RNA
Source: RNAcentral